RNAcentral lists this ribosomal RNA (437 nucleotides) under uncultured bacterium. Its description in RNAcentral is "bacterial SSU rRNA". It matches the Rfam family "Bacterial small subunit ribosomal RNA", at positions 29 to 502 of the family's 1533-position model. The record is from RNAcentral.
AACGAACGCUGGCGGCAGGCCUAACACAUGCAAGUCGAACGAGAAGCUGACUUCGGUCAGUGGAGAGUGGCGCACGGGUGAGUAACGCGUGGGAAUUUGCCUCUUGGUACGGGAUAACGUUUGGAAACGAACGCUAAUACCGUAUGUGAUCUACGGAUUAAAGAUUUAUCGCCAAGAGAGAAGCCCGCGUAGGAUUAGGUAGUUGGUGGGGUAAUGGCCCACCAAGCCAACGAUCUUUAGCUGGUCUGAGAGGACGAUCAGCCACACUGGAACUGAGACACGGUCCAGACUCCUACGGGAGGCAGCAGUGGGGAAUAUUGGACAAUGGGGGCAACCCUGAUCCAGCCAUGCCGCGUGAGUGAAGAAGGCCUUAGGGUUGUAAAGCUCUUUCGCUAGGGAAGAUAAUGACGGUACCUAGUAAAGAAGUCCCGCUAACU